Non-coding RNA from Triticum urartu, 125 nucleotides. NCBI's taxonomy places the organism in Eukaryota, Viridiplantae, Streptophyta, Magnoliopsida, Poales, Poaceae. The record is from Rfam.
AUAAUACUCCCUCCAUCCGAAAAUACUUGUCCGGGAAAUGAAUAAAAAUGGAUGUAUCUAGAACUGAAAUACCUAUAGAUACAUCCAUUUAUCCGACAAAUAUUUCCAAAAGGAGGCAGUACAAA